CAGGACUGGAACUCAGGUCAGAAAGCA
This 27-nucleotide non-coding RNA is filed under the name Mus musculus (house mouse). Lineage: Eukaryota; Metazoa; Chordata; Mammalia; Rodentia; Muridae. The record is from RNAcentral.